GACGUAGGGCGCGAGCGUUGUCCGGAUUUAUUGGGCGUAAAGAGCUCGUAGGCGGCUUGUCGCGUCGACUGUGAAAUCCCGCGGCUCAACUGCGGGUCUGCAGUCGAUACGGGCAGGCUAGAGUUCGGUAGGGGAGAUCGGAAUUCCUGGUGUAGCGGUGAAAUGCGCAGAUAUCAGGAGGAACACCGGUGGCGAAGGCGGAUCUCUGGGCAUUACCUGACGCUGAGGAGCGAAAGUGUGGGGAGCGAACAGG
RNAcentral lists this ribosomal RNA (253 nucleotides) under uncultured bacterium. Its description in RNAcentral is "partial 16S ribosomal RNA". It matches the Rfam family "Bacterial small subunit ribosomal RNA", at positions 524 to 776 of the family's 1533-position model. The record is from RNAcentral.